RNAcentral lists this ribosomal RNA (498 nucleotides) under uncultured bacterium. RNAcentral describes it as "partial 16S ribosomal RNA". It matches the Rfam family "Bacterial small subunit ribosomal RNA", at positions 30 to 523 of the family's 1533-position model. The record is from RNAcentral.
AUUGAACGCUGGCGGCAUGCUUUACACAUGCAAGUCGAACGGUAUCAGGCCGCAAGGUGCUGACGAGUGGCGAACGGGUGAGUAAUGCAUCGGAACGUGCCCAGUCGUGGGGGAUAACGCAGCGAAAGCUGUGCUAAUACCGCAUAUGAUCUAUGGAUGAAAGCGGGGGACCGUAAGGCCUCGCGCGAUUGGAGCGGCCGAUGUCAGAUUAGUUAGUUGGUGGGGUAAAGGCUAAACAAGCCAACGAACUGUAGCUGGUCUGAAGGGACGCCCAGCCACACUGGGACUGAGACACGGCGCAGACUCCUACGGGAGGCAGCAGUGGGAAAUUUUGGACAAUGGGCGCAAGCCUGAUCCAGCAAUGCCGCGUGCAGGAAGAAGGCCUUCGGGUUGUAAACUGCUUUUGUACGGAACGAAACGGCGAGCUCUAAUACAGUUUGCUAAUGACGGUACCGUAAGAAUAAGCACCGGCUAACUACGUGCCAGCCGCCGCAGUAA